AGCUCAACCUGGAACGCCUUUGAUACUGGAGAUCUGAGUCCGGGAGAGGUGAGUGGAAUNGCNAGUGUANAGGUGAAAUNCGUANAUAUUCGCAAGAACACCAGUGGCGAAGGCGGCUCACUGGCCCGGAACUGACGCUGAGACGCGAAAGCGUGGGGAGCAAACAGGAUUAGAUACCCUGGUAGUCCACGCUGUAAACGAUGGAUGCUAGCCGUUGGGGAGCUGGCUCUUCAGUGGCGCAGCUAACGCUUUAAGCAUCCCGCCUGGGGAGUACGGUCGCAAGAUUAAAACUCAAANGAAUNGACGGGGGCCCGCACAAGCGGUGGAGCAUGUGGUUCAAUUCGACGCAACGCGCAGAACCUUACC
This 366-nucleotide ribosomal RNA is filed under the name uncultured bacterium. RNAcentral describes it as "bacterial SSU rRNA". It matches the Rfam family "Bacterial small subunit ribosomal RNA", at positions 606 to 975 of the family's 1533-position model. The record is from RNAcentral.